GGGAAGGUGGCUCAGUGGUAAAGUGCUUGCCUGGCAUGCAAGAGGCCCUGGGUUCGAUUCCUCACCACCACA
This 72-nucleotide transfer RNA is filed under the name Dipodomys ordii (Ord's kangaroo rat). It matches the Rfam family "tRNA". Rfam says of the family: Transfer RNA (tRNA) molecules are approximately 80 nucleotides in length. Their secondary structure includes four short double-helical elements and three loops (D, anti-codon, and T loops). Lineage: Eukaryota; Metazoa; Chordata; Mammalia; Rodentia; Heteromyidae. The record is from Rfam by way of RNAcentral.